Molecule: ribosomal RNA, 254 nt
Filed under: uncultured bacterium
Lineage: Bacteria
Description: partial 16S ribosomal RNA
Rfam family: Bacterial small subunit ribosomal RNA
Source: RNAcentral
UACGUAGGGACCGAGCGUUGUCCGGAUUCAUUGGGCGUAAAGAGCUCGUAGGCGGCUGUUCAAGUCGAACGUGAAAACUCGGAGCUCAACUCCGAGCCUGCGUUCGAUACUGGACGGCUAGAGUCUGGUAGGGGGAUCGUGGAAUUCCUGGUGUAGCGGUGGAAUGCGCAGAUAUCAGGAGGAACACCGGUGGCGAAGGCGGGAUCCUGGGCCAGCACUGACGCUCAUGCACGAAAGCGUGGGGAGCAAACAGG